UAUUCGCUUAAUCUAGACGUUCGGAGUGUUUAGUGAAGUUUUCGUAUUUUGAGACGAUUUAGUCGGCAUUAGUUCGGGAUAGCGGAUUGAUAUUUAAUCAAGAAUUUUGAUAUUUUCAGUAAUAGAAAUAUUAUUGGAAUAAUAUUUGAAGUUUUGGGAAUUUUCUGAGUAAUUAAGAUUAGACCGUAGUUAUGAGAUUUUGAGUAUUCAGUCGGUAUAUUAAAAUAAUCAGAUUUUAUUUUAAUGGAAUUUAAAUGGUGGUAUUAUUUUUUUUAUUAAGAGUAGAAUAAAUUUUGGGUUCAAUUAAUGACAUUUCUAAGUAUUAAGGGGUAUAUUUGGUUAGGCCCAUUAAGUAGUGGUGGUCUCUUUUGUCACUUAAAAAAAAAAAGAAACAUAGUAAUAGAAAGAGAACCGAGGAAGAGAAAGGAAAAAUAAAGAAGGGAGGCUAGGGUUUGUGAAGAGGAGAAAAGGGGACCCAAAAGUGUUGCUCUAAAGUGCAAUUUUUCCCAAAAUCUCCAUUGAUUCUCCUUAAAGCUGCACUCAAUCUAAGGUACUCAAGUAUAGCUGUGGAAGUUUAUUGCUUCAUCGAGUCCAGUUUGUGUGUCGCUCUGAUACGUAGCACUCGGGGGGUUGCUUAUAUCGUUAUUUCUAGGUUGUUGAUGUUUUAGUUGUUGUUAUUAUAAUCGUUGAUUCAAAGUUGAAUAAUAUGAAGUACUUAUUAUAUUUCCAAGUUGUUUGGGUUGAGAUAAGCUGAUAGUUGACUGUUAAUUCGAAUGCUAUGUAUCAUUGUUGAAUGAAACACAAGUUGAAGUUUUUAGUUGAUAUGUGAUACUCCAAUUUGUUGUUUGAAAUUUUAAAUACUCUAAUAUUUUCUGCAAUAUAAUUUCGGAUAGAAUUUGGGGUGUUACAUUAGUGGUAUCAGAGCAGGUCGGUCCGUCCGGCCAUGUUGUCGAGUCAGUUGAGUUGUGUGACAAUUGAAUGUUGUCAGUGUUUUAUUCCUUAGUACACGACAUGUGUGUGAAACACUAUCGGUACUUGUUUUCUUUGUUGCAGGGAUUGGUUUGAUCCCAAGUGGGGGAGAAGUUUUACUUCUCGAAGAUGUUUCUGUUGUAAGGGAUGGUCAGGUAUGUUGUCAACAAGCGACGGUGCAAGUGUUGUUGAGAGUUUUGUAUGUUACCCAGAGUCGAAGACGAUGUGAAGUUAAGGAUAAUUUUGGGAGACAGAAGUUAGAGAGUGGGGAUGUUCAACACAGUUGAGGACUGAGAACUUGUCGGUGUGUUUAACCUUUGCGUCUGAUGCCGGUGUUUGACAAGUGUUAAAGUGAUAAAGCUACGGUAGACUUUAUGUUAGACUCGCAUAAGUGAUUGUCGGAUGUAGUUGAUGCGUGAAGUGUGGUGAAUCGUGAGUUCGAGUUGGAAAUUCGAAGGUGCGUGUAGCCGUGAAAAGAAUGGUUGUCUCGGUGAUGUUAAGACUGGAAUUUCGAUGAAAGAAUUCACCUCCUGAGUUAUGAAGAGUUUAAAGAUGAGAUGAAUUGUGAAGUACGAGUAUAGAAGUAAUUUUUGAGAUGGAAAGACAUUUGACGAUUGCGAGAUGCUAAGUGACUAUGAAGCGGGUUCAGUAAUAUGUUUGGGCGUUGGUGUCUCAUCGACGAGAUAUAAUGGGUAGGAAGUUGUGGGAGUUGUAAAAACCCAUAGUGAAUUAUUGGAUUAUGACGUGUUAAUUAAUUUGAGUGAAAAUUCAGAAAUGACGCUAUUAUGAAGUAACGACGAUUUAUACUCCAUUAUGAUUGUCGAAUACUAAUUGACAAAUUGGGGAACUGAUCACCCUCAAUCCAUUGUUAAUGGUAGGCGAAAAUCGUGUUGGAUGUUAUAGCUUUGUCUUGCUAUCUUAAUAGUGAGGAAAAAGUAUUGAUGUUGUAUCGCGAAGUUAGUCGUUCACUAGUUUAUGUAACUUGAUGAGAGGAGUGGUUGAGUAAGAGUUGGACGAAAUGAACAAUUUGGAGUAGCGAGUUUUGUGCAAGCGAAUGUCGCAAGGUGAAAGAUUUGGAAGUAACAGUGAAACGACGAUGUGGAAAUGAGUAUUAAGGAAAGUUUGCGUUGGAUUGAAAAAUUUGUGAACCAUACAGUUGACGGAGUUUUAACAAGGCAGUGACUUAAAAAAGAAUUAUCAGAGUUACGCAGCGGAAGCAUUGCAUUGCACUGUUGUUAUACGACUUAUAAGAAGUGAAGGACGAUAUGUCAGAAGACUGUGAAGUGUAGUUAUCUUGAUGUUUGGAUUGAUAGACUGUUGGGAUAAGUGCGAUGAGCCAGGAUGCUGCAUUGGGUAGUAGAUUAUUGUGAAUCUGGUAAGAAUAGAUAUGUGUUUGUGUUAUUGUGGAAUCGUUGUUGUGCCGAAGAAGUAGUGAUUGAAGUGUUACAAAACGUGAUUUGGAUAUUUGAGGAUUGGAUACGAGUUUUGGUUGCGAUGGUGUUGACAAGUAGAUUUUCGAGGACGAAAAUAUUCUAAGUGGGGGAGAGUUGUAACGCCCGGAAAUUCGAUUAUUCGCUUAAUCUAGACGUUCGGAGUGUUUAGUGAAGUUUUCGUAUUUUGAGACGAUUUAGUCGGCAUUAGUUCGGGAUAGCGGAUUGAUAUUUAAUCAAGAAUUUUGAUAUUUUCAGUAAUAGAAAUAUUAUUGGAAUAAUAUUUGAAGUUUUGGGAAUUUUCUGAGUAAUUAAGAUUAGACCGUAGUUAUGAGAUUUUGAGUAUUCAGUCGGUAUAUUAAAAUAAUCAGAUUUUAUUUUAAUGGAAUUUAAAUGGUGGUAUUAUUUUUUUUAUUAAGAGUAGAAUAAAUUUUGGGUUCAAUUAAUGACAUUUCUAAGUAUUAAGGGGUAUAUUUGGUUAGGCCCAUUAAGUAGUGGUGGUCUCUUUUGUCACUUAAAAAAAAAAAGAAACAUAGUAAUAGAAAGAGAACCGAGGAAGAGAAAGGAAAAAUAAAGAAGGGAGGCUAGGGUUUGUGAAGAGGAGAAAAGGGGACCCAAAAGUGUUGCUCUAAAGUGCAAUUUUUCCCAAAAUCUCCAUUGAUUCUCCUUAAAGCUGCACUCAAUCUAAGGUACUCAAGUAUAGCUGUGGAAGUUUAUUGCUUCAUCGAGUCCAGUUUGUGUGUCGCUCUGAUACGUAGCACUCGGGGGGUUGCUUAUAUCGUUAUUUCUAGGUUGUUGAUGUUUUAGUUGUUGUUAUUAUAAUCGUUGAUUCAAAGUUGAAUAAUAUGAAGUACUUAUUAUAUUUCCAAGUUGUUUGGGUUGAGAUAAGCUGAUAGUUGACUGUUAAUUCGAAUGCUAUGUAUCAUUGUUGAAUGAAACACAAGUUGAAGUUUUUAGUUGAUAUGUGAUACUCCAAUUUGUUGUUUGAAAUUUUAAAUACUCUAAUAUUUUCUGCAAUAUAAUUUCGGAUAGAAUUUGGGGUGUUACAGAAAACCAACGGAAUCGUUCAACAAUAAGAACAAAACAACAUAAAAAAAUGAAAAUUAAAACUCAUUAAAACCAAAACAGUAACAAACAAACCACGUCAAUGAACCACAUACAAUCAUCACACUUAUCACAAUAUAAUUUAUCUAUUUUCUUUUCAUCCUAUUACAAAAAUUAAUUGCACUCUGAUUACAAAAAUUGUACUUACAUUUGUAUUAAUUCUUACAUACUCUAUAAUUGUACUUACAAAAAUGGCAGAAAUGAACUAAAAAUAAUGAUUUGAAAACCCUGAUGACAGUUUUUCCCUUGAUCAGAUGAGUUUUAAUGAAAACCCUAGCAAAGUACAUAACUGUAGAAAAUCAAACCAAGAUGUCAGUUGGUUUGUUAUGAAGUUGCUUGAUCUCAUUCCACCCUCGUAUCUAAACAACAUAAGACCAAAAUAAUAGAAUAUAAGAAAAAACCUCAUCAAAAUCAAAACAAUAACAAACAAACAUACCUGUUGAGUUACAACAUGUAUGUCACCACCCUGUGCAACACAAAAAAUAAUAUUAGACAGA
Long non-coding RNA from Vicia villosa (hairy vetch), 4000 nucleotides. RefSeq lists it as uncharacterized. Lineage: Eukaryota; Viridiplantae; Streptophyta; Magnoliopsida; Fabales; Fabaceae. The transcript is spliced from 3 exons. The record is from RefSeq and is a predicted model, not a curated record.